RNAcentral lists this ribosomal RNA (208 nucleotides) under uncultured bacterium. RNAcentral describes it as "partial 16S ribosomal RNA". It matches the Rfam family "Bacterial small subunit ribosomal RNA", at positions 328 to 532 of the family's 1533-position model. The record is from RNAcentral.
ACGCUCGACACCUACGGGGGCAGCAGUCGGGAAUAUUGCGCAAUGGAGGAAACUCUGACGCAGUGACGCCGCGUAUAGGAAGAAGGUUUUCGGAUUGUAAACUAUUGUCGUUAGGGAAGAUACAAGACAGUACCUAAGGAGGAAGCACCGGCUAACUAUGUGCCCAGCACGCCGGAAGGUAAUCUGAGGCCGGGUCGUGGACGAAGGC